UAUGUUAUUAUUCUUCGUUGGUUCGUUAAAAAUGGAUAAAUAAAAACUUUGCAUACAAGAAUUAAUAAAAAUGUUAUAACGAAUUUAAUUAAAUGUUUUAUCAUUAUAUAUAAAGAAUUUAUGGCAAGAUAAAGUUAUAUACAACCUCAACUCAUAUGGGACUACCCCCUGAAUUUAAGCAUAUUAAUUAGGGGAGGAAAAGAAACUAACAAGGAUUUUCUUAGUAGCGGCGAGCGAAAAGAAAACAGUUCAGCACUAAGUCACUUUGUCUAUAUGGCAAAUGUGAGAUGCAGUGUAUGGAGCGUCAAUAUUCUAGUAUGAGAAAUUAACGAUUUAAGUCCUUCUUAAAUGAGGCCAUUUACCCAUAGAGGGUGCCAGGCCCGUAUAACGUUAAUGAUUACUAGAUGAUGUUUCCAAAGAGUCGUGUUGCUUGAUAGUGCAGCACUAAGUGGGUGGUAAACUCCAUCUAAAACUAAAUAUAACCAUGAGACCGAUAGUAAACAAGUACCGUGAGGGAAAGUUGAAAAGAACUCUGAAUAGAGAGUUAAACAGUACGUGAAACUGCUUAGAGGUUAAGCCCGAUGAACCUGAAUAUCCGUUAUGGAAAAUUCAUCAUUAAAAUUGUAAUAUUUAAAUAAUAUUAUGAGAAUAGUGUGCAUUUUUUCCAUAUAAGGACAUUGUAAUCUAUUAGCAUAUACCAAAUUUAUCAUAAAAUAUAACUUAUAGUUUAUUCCAAUUAAAUUGCUUGCAUUUUAACACAGAAUAAAUGUUAUUAAUUUGAUAAAGUGCUGAUAGAUUUAUAUGAUUACAGUGCGUUAAUUUUUCGGAAUUAUAUAAUGGCAUAAUUAUCAUUGAUUUUUGUGUUUAUUAUAUGCACUUGUAUGAUUAACAAUGCGAAAGAUUCAGGAUACCUUCGGGACCCGUCUUGAAACACGGACCAAGGAGUCUAACAUAUGUGCAAGUUAUUGGGAUAUAAACCUAAUAGCGUAAUUAACUUGACUAAUAAUGGGAUUAGUUUUUUAGCUAUUUAUAGCUAAUUAACACAAUCCCGGGGCGUUCUAUAUAGUUAUGUAUAAUGUAUAUUUAUAUUAUUUAUGCCUCUAACUGGAACGUACCUUGAGCAUAUAUGCUGUGACCCGAAAGAUGGUGAACUAUACUUGAUCAGGUUGAAGUCAGGGGAAACCCUGAUGGAAGACCGAAACAGUUCUGACGUGCAAAUCGAUUGUCAGAAUUGAGUAUAGGGGCGAAAGACCAAUCGAACCAUCUAGUAGCUGGUUCCUUCCGAAGUUUCCCUCAGGAUAGCUGGUGCAUUUUAAUAUUAUAUAAAAUAAUCUUAUCUGGUAAAGCGAAUGAUUAGAGGCCUUAGGGUCGAAACGAUCUUAACCUAUUCUCAAACUUUAAAUGGGUAAGAACCUUAACUUUCUUGAUAUGAAGUUCAAGGUUAUGAUAUAAUGUGCCCAGUGGGCCACUUUUGGUAAGCAGAACUGGCGCUGUGGGAUGAACCAAACGUAAUGUUACGGUGCCCAAAUUAACAACUCAUGCAGAUACCAUGAAAGGCGUUGGUUGCUUAAAACAGCAGGACGGUGAUCAUGGAAGUCGAAAUCCGCUAAGGAGUGUGUAACAACUCACCUGCCGAAGCAACUAGCCCUUAAAAUGGAUGGCGCUUAAGUUGUAUACCUAUACAUUACCGCUAAAGUAGAUGAUUUAUAUUACUUGUGAUAUAAAUUUUGAAACUUUAGUGAGUAGGAAGGUACAAUGGUAUGCGUAGAAGUGUUUGGCGUAAGCCUGCAUGGAGCUGCCAUUGGUACAGAUCUUGGUGGUAGUAGCAAAUAAUCGAAUGAGACCUUGGAGGACUGAAGUGGAGAAGGGUUUCGUGUGAACAGUGGUUGAUCACGAGUUAGUCGGUCCUAAGUUCAAGGCGAAAGCCGAAAAUUUUCAAGUAAAACAAAAAUGCCUAACUAUAUAAACAAAGCGAAUUAUAAUACACUUGAAUAAUUUUGAACGAAAGGGAAUACGGUUCCAAUUCCGUAACCUGUUGAGUAUCCGUUUGUUAUUAAAUAUGGGCCUCGUGCUCAUCCUGGCAACAGGAACGACCAUAAAGAAGCCGUCGAGAGAUAUCGGAAGAGUUUUCUUUUCUGUUUUAUAGCCGUACUACCAUGGAAGUCUUUCGCAGAGAGAUAUGGUAGAUGGGCUAGAAGAGCAUGACAUAUACUGUUGUGUCGAUAUUUUCUCCUCGGACCUUGAA
RNAcentral lists this ribosomal RNA (2245 nucleotides) under Drosophila melanogaster (fruit fly). RNAcentral's name for it is "eukaryotic LSU rRNA". It matches the Rfam family "Eukaryotic large subunit ribosomal RNA", at positions 1 to 1809 of the family's 3401-position model. Lineage: Eukaryota; Metazoa; Arthropoda; Insecta; Diptera; Drosophilidae. The record is from RNAcentral.